GACGAACGCUGGCGGCGUGCUUAACACAUGCAAGUCGAACGGUAAGGCCCUUCGGGGUACACGAGUGGCGAACGGGUGAGUAACACGUGGGUGAUCUGCCCUGCACUUCGGGAUAAGCCUGGGAAACUGGGUCUAAUACCGGAUAGGACCACUGCCUGCAUGGGUGGUGGUGGAAAGCUUUUGCGGUGUGGGAUGGGCCCGCGGCCUAUCAGCUUGUUGGUGGGGUGAUGGCCUACCAAGGCGACGACGGGUAGCCGGCCUAAGAGGGUGACCGGCCACAAUGGGACUGCGAUCCGGCCCAGACUCCUACGGGAGGCAGCAGUGGGGAAUAUUGCACAAUGGGCGCAAGCCUGAUGCAGCGACGCCGCGUGAGGGAUGACGGCCUUCGGGUUGUAAACCUCUUUCAGCACCGACGAAGCGCAAGUGACGGUAGGUGCAGAAGAAGGACCGGCCAACUACGUGCCAGCCGCCGCCGUAA
Molecule: ribosomal RNA, 478 nt
Filed under: uncultured bacterium
Lineage: Bacteria
Description: partial 16S ribosomal RNA
Rfam family: Bacterial small subunit ribosomal RNA
Source: RNAcentral